This 496-nucleotide ribosomal RNA is filed under the name uncultured bacterium. RNAcentral describes it as "partial 16S ribosomal RNA". It matches the Rfam family "Bacterial small subunit ribosomal RNA", at positions 28 to 506 of the family's 1533-position model. The record is from RNAcentral.
GAUGAACGCUGGCGGCGUGCCUAAUACAUGCAAGUCGAGCGAACAGAUGAGGAGCUUGCUCCUCUGACGUUAGCGGCGGACGGGUGAGUAACACGUGGAUAACCUACCUAUAAGACUGGGAUAACUUCGGGAAACCGGAGCUAAUACCGGAUAAUAUAUUGAACCGCAUGGUUCAAUAGUGAAAGACGGUUUUGCUGUCACUUAUAGAUGGAUCCGCGCCGCAUUAGCUAGUUGGUAAGGUAACGGCUUACCAAGGCAACGAUGCGUAGCCGACCUGAGAGGGGGAUCGGCCACACUGGAACUGAGACACGGUCCAGACUCCUACGGGAGGCAGCAGUAGGGAAUCUUCCGCAAUGGGCGAAAGCCUGACGGAGCAACGCCGCGGGAGUGAUGAAGGUCUUCGGAUCGUAAAACUCUGUUAUUAGGGAAGAACAAAUGUGUAAGUAACUAUGCACGUCUUGACGGUACCUAAGCAGAAAGCCACGGCUAACUACGU